This 377-nucleotide long non-coding RNA is filed under the name Chloebia gouldiae (Gouldian finch). RNAcentral describes it as "Erythrura gouldiae (Gouldian finch) lncRNA (ENSEGOG00005001565.1)". Lineage: Eukaryota; Metazoa; Chordata; Aves; Passeriformes; Passeridae. The record is from RNAcentral.
UUCUGAUCUGGAGUAAUUUCACACCAUCCUUCCUCAACAGCAUCGUCAUCCCACCUGAACGAGCCGCUGGGUUUCUGAGUAUGCAGACAGCUACAGCAUCUUCCUGAAGAAGCUGGACUGGUCCUCCCCCAUCUCUGCACAGUGGCUGCCCUUUGGCAAGGACGUGCGAUGGACGCCGCGAUGGAAAUUGGUCGGUAACUGAGCAGUGCCAAGGUGGCUGAGCUCUUUGGCCCUCCAAGCUGCCUGUGUGAUACUGCUCAUCAGAAACCCUGAAAGCCUUAGAAACCUCAAUGCUAUCAAACCCACCACUGUCUGUCAGAUGUGAAAUGUUUCGCAAAGACAUCUUUAAGUGCAAAUUAUGAUUAAAAUCUCCCAAG